RNAcentral lists this long non-coding RNA (761 nucleotides) under Sinocyclocheilus grahami. RNAcentral describes it as "lncRNA (ENSSGRG00000054247.1)". Lineage: Eukaryota; Metazoa; Chordata; Actinopteri; Cypriniformes; Cyprinidae. The record is from RNAcentral.
CUGAUUUGGUUUGUUCCAGAGUUUUCUGUAGGUAGAGCGUCUAGAGCCGACACGCAGCAUCACAGCCGAGUGAAGAUGGCGGCUCAGAGAGUGAUGCUGUCAACGAGAGUUUGAGUUCACCUCUCAUUUUUAAACUUCUUAAACCUUUGAGGAUCCCUUACGGAUAGCUGUGUCAAAGAAAACUAUAUCGGUCGCUGCUCCUGACCAUUUAACAAUGGAAACUCAUGUUCUUCCAGAGCCUCUUCAUUUCACAGCCCACACUGCACUUCUGUCAUUGUGAGAAAUUCAGUCUCAGGUCUUUGGCUCUGCUGAUAGACUCCCUCCAGUAAGCUCCGCUGGAGAAGCAGAGAUACUCCUAUUACUGGCCUUUAUGAAGGAGAGCAGUUCAACAACAAUCAGCUUUGUACCACUUAAGAGGCAGGAUGCUGAUUUGUUACCACUGGCGUGCUCAGACUGGCUUCUGGAGGUCUAAUUUCCCCGCAGAUUGAGGAUCUAACUCUAAUCAAACUCACCUGAACUAGCUAAUCAAGGUCUUUGGGUUCACUUGAAAAUUACAGACAGGUGCUUGCAGCAGCACCAGAGCUAAACUCGGCAGGAGUGUUGAUCUUCAGGAGCAGGAUGGAUCACUGCUGUCUUGGCUGAAACUAAAGGCACCUGCCUUGCUGCCUAGGAAACCGAAUUGGCUUCAGAAGGCUUUCAUAACUUGAGUAUGUUUUGUGUGAUACAUUAGUGAAUAUUUAAUGACUAUACAAUAAUUUCAG